Long non-coding RNA from Dipodomys spectabilis (banner-tailed kangaroo rat), 464 nucleotides. RefSeq lists it as uncharacterized. The transcript is spliced from 3 exons. The record is from RefSeq and is a predicted model, not a curated record. Lineage: Eukaryota; Metazoa; Chordata; Mammalia; Rodentia; Heteromyidae.
CAUUUGCUAGCUUGUAAUUUGCUCAGUCUUAGAAAACUACAAGCUAGCAAAUGUACAGAGAGCUGGCUGGUGCUAACACCACAGUUGAGACAGUGUCUUUAAUUUUUUUAAGGAUCUUUUUAAAAGCCUGUUGCCAAGGCAGAUUCUGGUCACUUGCUACUUUCAAAGCCAAAAACACAAUACAAGGUCUGACCAUUUCCCCAGGUCAUGCUUACUAGUUUGUCUUUAUGUACAUUUAUACAUAUUUAAGUGCUAGGUAAAAGUCUUGUCAUAAAGUUUCCAGUACUACCAUGUUUAAAACGUUGAGCUUUCCUACUGAGCUGCCAAAAAGAUUACUGAUAACAAUUUCUAGUGUUACGAGUGCGAAUUCCUCUGCAAGAUCUAUUGCAGAGAAGGGUUCUUAGAAAUACAGAUUUUCCUUAAAGGGACUGAUGUCAAAAUUUAGGUAUAAUGUCUGGGAGAAA